CCUACGGGUGGCAGCAGUGGGGGAUAUUGCACAAUGGGGGGAACCCUGAUGCAGCGACGCCGCGUGGGUGAAGGAGCGUUUCGGCGCGUAAAGUCCUAUCGGCAGGGAAGAUGAUGACGGUAUCUGACCAAGAAGCACCGGCUAACUACGUGCCAGCAGCCGCGGUAAUACGGAGGGGGCAAGCGUUACACGGAAUCACUGGGCGUAAAGGGGGCGCAGACGGCAAUGCAAGCCAGGUGUGAAAGCCCGGGGCCCAACCCCGGGACUGCACUUGGAACUGCAUGGCUGGAGUACAGGAGGGGCAGGCGGAAUUCCUGGUGUAGCGGUGAAAUGCGUAGAGAUUAAGAGGAACACUGGUGGCGAAGGCGACCUGCUAGACUAUAACUGACGUUGAGGCCCGAAGGCGUGGGGAGCAAACAGGAUUAGAUACCCGUGUAGUC
RNAcentral lists this ribosomal RNA (440 nucleotides) under uncultured bacterium. Its description in RNAcentral is "partial 16S ribosomal RNA". It matches the Rfam family "Bacterial small subunit ribosomal RNA", at positions 338 to 795 of the family's 1533-position model. The record is from RNAcentral.